AGUGAACGCUGGCGGUAGGCCUAACACAUGCAAGUCGAACGGCAGCACAGUAAGAGCUUGCUCUUACGGGUGGCGAGUGGCGGACGGGUGAGGAAUACAUCGGAAUCUACUUUUUCGUGGGGGAUAACGUAGGGAAACUUACGCUAAUACCGCAUACGACCUACGGGUGAAAGCAGGGGAUCUUCGGACCUUGCGCGAUUGAAUGAGCCGAUGUCGGAUUAGCUAGUUGGCGGGGUAAAGGCCCACCAAGGCGACGAUCCGUAGCUGGUCUGAGAGGAUGAUCAGCCACACUGGAACUGAGACACGGUCCAGACUCCUACAGGAGGCAGCAGUGGGGAAUAUUGGACGAUGGACGCAAGCCUGAUCCAGCCAUACCGCGUGAGUGAAGAAGGCCUUCGGGUUGUAAAGCCCUUUUGUUGGGAAAGAAAAACAGCAGGUUAAUACCCCGCUGUUCUGACGGUACCCAAAGAAUAAGCACCGGCUAACUUCGUG
RNAcentral lists this ribosomal RNA (492 nucleotides) under uncultured bacterium. Its description in RNAcentral is "partial 16S ribosomal RNA". It matches the Rfam family "Bacterial small subunit ribosomal RNA", at positions 29 to 507 of the family's 1533-position model. The record is from RNAcentral.